RNAcentral lists this ribosomal RNA (247 nucleotides) under uncultured bacterium. RNAcentral's name for it is "partial 16S ribosomal RNA". It matches the Rfam family "Bacterial small subunit ribosomal RNA", at positions 523 to 769 of the family's 1533-position model. The record is from RNAcentral.
AUACGUAUGGUGCAAGCGUUAUCCGGAUUUACUGGGUGUAAAGGGAGUGUAGGUGGUCUGACAAGUCAGAGGUGAAAGCCCGGGGCUCAACCCCGGGACUGCCUUUGAAACUGUCAGACUAGAGUGCAGGAGAGGUAAGUGGAAUUCCUAGUGUAGCGGUGAAAUGCGUAGAUAUUAGGAGGAACACCAGUAGCGAAGGCGGCUUUCUGGACUGUAACUGACACUGAGGCACGAAAGCGUGGGGAGC